This 69-nucleotide transfer RNA is filed under the name Phytophthora infestans (potato late blight agent). RNAcentral's name for it is "tRNA-Lys". It matches the Rfam family "tRNA". From Rfam's summary of the family: Transfer RNA (tRNA) molecules are approximately 80 nucleotides in length. Their secondary structure includes four short double-helical elements and three loops (D, anti-codon, and T loops). The record is from RNAcentral. Lineage: Eukaryota; Oomycota; Peronosporomycetes; Peronosporales; Peronosporaceae.
GCCCGUCUAGCUCAGUCGAGCGCAAGACUCUUAAUCUUGUGGUCGUGGGUUCAUGCCCCACGGUGGGCG